UAGGGAAUCUUGCGCAAUGGGCGAAAGCCUGACGCAGCGACGCCGCGUGGGGGAUGAAGGUCUUCGGAUCGUAAACCCCUGUCUUUGGGGACGAAGCAUGACGGUACCCAAGGAGGAAGCCCCGGCUAACUACGUGCCAGCAGCCGCGGUAAAACGUAGGGGCGAGCGUUGUCCGGAAUUACUGGGCGUAAAGGGUGCGUAGGCGGCCGCUUAAGUCCUGUGUGAAAGGCCCCGGCUUAACCGGGGAGGGUCAUGGGAAACUGGGCGGCUUGAGUGCCGGAGAGGGUGGUGGAAUUCCCGGUGUAGCGGUGAAAUGCGUAGAGAUCGGGAGGAACACCAGUGGCGAAGGCGGCCACCUGGACGCACUGACGCUGAGGCACGACAGCUGGGGGAGCAAACAGGAUUAGAUACC
This 412-nucleotide ribosomal RNA is filed under the name uncultured bacterium. RNAcentral's name for it is "bacterial SSU rRNA". It matches the Rfam family "Bacterial small subunit ribosomal RNA", at positions 355 to 786 of the family's 1533-position model. The record is from RNAcentral.